GCGUUUACAACUCUCAUCGCUGUUCUGAUUGAACGGUAUCCAAGUUUGAAAAAGAGGAUCCUUCUUUUUGCAGGAGGUCCUACAAAUUUGAGUCCAACAUCCGUGGCCAUCUGUGCACGAAAAUUGAAAGACUUGUCUAUAGCUCUUGAUGUUGUCAACUUCUAUCCUAAAGAAAGUUUGUACAUAUAUUCACCACAUGGUUACCAUUUUGGGAGGAGCGCGCUUGAGGAUCUUGUUGCUGCUACCAAUCUUGAUGACAACAGCCACUUCAUACAAGUUGAACCUGAAUCUUCUAUUAAAGAUUUUCUAUACAUGUUCAUAUUAAGAAAGACCACUCUUAAGAAUAUAGAGAAAGAGGAUUAAUGUCAUAAAGCCUUGUCGCAACCAUCUUGCAAGGCCGCUCCAAAUGAUGGAAUUGAAUAAUGUUGAUGAUGAAUACUAAUUGUUGAAUCUGCCAACAUCAACCAGAGAUCCAUGAAUGUGCAAGAGAUUCCGAGAUAGCCAUGAGACUAAUGGGAGGAGCGUAUCAACAACCGUACCCCACCAUCUUGUAACCAGAACAGCUGCAAGGGUGGCUUCCGCAUGCUUGAUGACAGUUUCCAGCAUCCAGAGAGCACCGAAUGUUUGAAAUCUGUGAACCAGAUAACCGAGAAAUACUUCCGAUCUGUAUUCAUGUAAACUUAUAUUACUGGAAUUUAGGAGUGAACAAUAAGCGAGUUUUAUGUGUGAUUUGUUUUUUUUUUUUUCAUAUCAAAUAGAA
Long non-coding RNA from Erigeron canadensis, 760 nucleotides. RefSeq lists it as uncharacterized. NCBI's taxonomy places the organism in Eukaryota, Viridiplantae, Streptophyta, Magnoliopsida, Asterales, Asteraceae. The transcript has 3 exons. The record is from RefSeq and is a predicted model, not a curated record.